AAUUUUGGACAAUGGGGAAACCCUUAACCAGCCAUCCCUCCGUUUUUUAUUAAGCCCUUCGGUUGUAAAAUACUUUUGGCAUGCAAUGAAAAGUAACUUCUAAUACCGAGUACUUCCUGCGGUAUCUUCCGCAUUAGCCACUGCCUACCACCUUCCAGCAGCCCCGGUAAUACGUAGGGUGCAAGCGUUAAUCGGAAUUACUGGGCGUAAAGCGUGUGUAGGCGGUUCGGAAAGAAAAAUGUGAAAUCCCAGGGCUCAACCUUGGAACUGCAUUUUUAACUGCCGAGCUAGAGUAUGUCAGAGGGGGGUAGAAUUCCACGUGUAGCAGUGAAAUGCGUAGAUAUGUGGAGGAAUACCGAUGGCGAAGGCAGCCCCCUGGGAUAAUACUGACGCUCAGACACGAAAGCGUGGGGAGCAAACA
Molecule: ribosomal RNA, 421 nt
Filed under: uncultured bacterium
Lineage: Bacteria
Description: partial 16S ribosomal RNA
Rfam family: Bacterial small subunit ribosomal RNA
Source: RNAcentral